GUGAGGAAUUUUCCGCAAUGGGCGAAAGCCUGACGGAGCAAUGCCGCGUGAAGGAUGAAGGCCUAUGGUUUGUAAACUUUUUUUCUCAGAAAAGAAUUAUGACGGUAUCUGAGGAAUAAGCAUCGGCUAACUCUGUGCCAGCAACCGCGGUAAGACAGAGGAUGCAAGCGUUAUCCGGAAGGAUUGGGCGUAAAGCGUCUGUAGGUUGUUUAAAAAGUAUUCUGUCAAAGAUUAGGGCUUAACCCUAGAUAGGCAUAAUAAACUUUUAAGCUAGAGUUUGGUAGAGGCAGAGGGGAUACACGGUGGAGCGGUGAAAUGCGUAGAUAUCGGGAGGAACACCAAAGGCGAAGGCACUCUGCUGGGCCAAUACUAACACUGAGAGACGAAAGCGAGGGGAGCAAAUGGGAUUAAAUACCCGGGUAGUCC
RNAcentral lists this ribosomal RNA (426 nucleotides) under uncultured bacterium. Its description in RNAcentral is "partial 16S ribosomal RNA". It matches the Rfam family "Bacterial small subunit ribosomal RNA", at positions 354 to 796 of the family's 1533-position model. The record is from RNAcentral.